GUCUAUGGCCAUGCCACCCUGAACAAGCCCGAUUCCGUCUGAUCUUGGAAGCUAAGCAGGGUCGGGCCUGGUUAGUACUUGGAGGGGAGACCACCUAGGAAGAACAGGUGCUGUAGGCG
Molecule: ribosomal RNA, 119 nt
Filed under: Pteropus alecto (black flying fox)
Lineage: Eukaryota; Metazoa; Chordata; Mammalia; Chiroptera; Pteropodidae
Source: RNAcentral